UCUUGUGGGGCAGAGGACACAGGGAGCUGGCACCUUUGCGGAUCUUGCUAUUGCUGUCUAUGGAAAUAAUAAACUGCCUGACGACAAAGGACUAGUUAUUUCUUUAGCAGCUGAAUGUCUCAGCCUUGCAUGAGGGCAAGGACAAAUGCUCUGCACCCACCCUUGGCCCGUCUGGUAUUUGAUGAAACUCGUGAAAGUGGGUGAACCUAACUUGCCCCUCUUCUCUAGGAUGCAGUGAAUGCAUAUGUGACUGUGACUUUUCAGAGAAGGAAACCGAGGCUUACAGAAGCUCUGUGUGAUCACAUUUCCACAAUUCACAGUGAGUAGAACUGAGACUUGAACUCAGGUCUGUCUGACGUCAAGUCAUUCCCUUAACCACUCUGCUGUACUACAGGAAAUUACAAAUGAACCUCAAAGGAGCUCAUAAUUUGACAGGGCAUUUGAGGGAGGCCCAAGUAAGACAUAAUUAUGAGGCAGGGCCUCCAUUUGAUUUAUCUUGGCAGUUAUGACCUAGGGCAGGCUUAUAGUAGGGGUUCAAAAACUAUGUGUUGAAAAUAAAUGAUAGACAUUAGUACCAGUAUUCUGAGGAGCUGGUACAUUCACCUCUGAGUGGACAUAUCAUAAUGUAGAGGCAGCAGG
Non-coding RNA from Delphinapterus leucas (beluga whale), 639 nucleotides. The record is from RefSeq and is a predicted model, not a curated record. Lineage: Eukaryota; Metazoa; Chordata; Mammalia; Artiodactyla; Monodontidae.